This 497-nucleotide ribosomal RNA is filed under the name uncultured bacterium. Its description in RNAcentral is "partial 16S ribosomal RNA". It matches the Rfam family "Bacterial small subunit ribosomal RNA", at positions 28 to 507 of the family's 1533-position model. The record is from RNAcentral.
GACGAACGCUGGCGGCGUGCCUAUUACAUGCAAGUAGAACGCUGAAGAGAGGAGCUUGCUCUUCUUGGAUGAGUUGCGAACGGGUGAGUAACGCGUAGGUAACCUGCCUUGUAGCGGGGGAUAACUAUUGGAAACGAUAGCUAAUACCGCAUAACAAUGGAUGACACAUGUCAUUUAUUUGAAAGGGGCAAUUGUUCCACUACAAGAUGGACCUGCGUUGUAUUAGCUAGUAGGUGAGGUAAUGGCUCACCUAGGCGACGAUACAUAGCCGACCUGAGAGGGUGGUCGGCCACACUGGGACUGGGACACGGCCCAGACUCCUACGGGAGGCAGCAGUAGGGAAUCUUCGGCAAUUGGGGCAACCCUGACCGAGCAACGCCGCGUGAGUGAAGAAGGUUUUCGGAUCGUAAAGCUCUGUUGUAAGUCAAGAACGGGUGUGAGAGUGGAAAGUUCACACUGUGACGGUAGCUUACCAGAAAGGGACGGCUAACUACGUG